This 312-nucleotide ribosomal RNA is filed under the name Triticum aestivum (bread wheat). RNAcentral's name for it is "partial small subunit ribosomal RNA". Lineage: Eukaryota; Viridiplantae; Streptophyta; Magnoliopsida; Poales; Poaceae. The record is from RNAcentral.
AUGAGCCCUCUGUCUGAGCUGGUGUGGUCUUCGGAUGAUGGUCUCAGCAUUAAAAUCGCAGCGUCCAGCCUAAGCACAAGAAAAGCCCCUCUUCGCUGGAAUGCGGAUACUUUGAACAUAGUGAUAUCUUUGCCUCAGCAGAGCGGCGGCGGCGGCAAGAGUGGUGAUAACGUAGAUGCCACCCUAAGGGAUGCACGAGAAAUGCCGUCGCAACCUCUAACUCGAAGUGACAAUUCAGUGAGAGUAUCCGCGGCUAGUCCAAAUAGAACACGAAACCUUGAUGCACAACAAUCGACUUCUAUAAGAUCAUAG